RNAcentral lists this microRNA precursor (93 nucleotides) under Marmota monax (woodchuck). Lineage: Eukaryota; Metazoa; Chordata; Mammalia; Rodentia; Sciuridae. The record is from RNAcentral.
AGUGGAAUUGAUGGAUCACAUAGUAAUUCUGUUUGAGUAUAUGUCAAACUAUUUUUCAUGCAACUUGCACUAUUUUUCAUUCCCACUAGUAAU